AUGCUCACUUCAGCAGCACAUAUACUAAAAUUGCAGUGAUACAGAGAAGAUUAGCAUGGCCUCUGUGCAAGGAUGACAUGCAAAUUCGUGAAGCGUUCCAUAUUAAA
This 107-nucleotide small nuclear RNA is filed under the name Tursiops truncatus (common bottlenose dolphin). Lineage: Eukaryota; Metazoa; Chordata; Mammalia; Artiodactyla; Delphinidae. The record is from RNAcentral.